UUGACCUCAGAUCAGGUAGGAAUACCCGCUGAACUUAAGCAUAUCAAUAAGCGGAGGAAAAGAAACCAACAGGGAUUGCCCUAGUAACGGCGAGUGAAGCGGCAACAGCUCAAAUUUGAAAUCUGGCGCAAGCCCGAGUUGUAAUUUGUAGAGGAUGUUUCUGGCGAAGUGCCUUCCGAGUUCCCUGGAACGGGACGCCAUAGAGGGUGAGAGCCCCGUACGGUUGGAUGCCUAGCCUCUGUGAAACUCCUUCGACGAGUCGAGUAGUUUGGGAAUGCUGCUCUAAAUGGGAGGUAUACGUCUUCUAAAGCUAAAUAUAGGCCAGAGACCGAUAGCGCACAAGUAGAGUGAUCGAAAGAUGAAAAGCACUUUGAAAAGAGGGUUAAAAAGUACGUGAAAUUGUUGAAAGGGAAGCGUUUAUGACCAGACUUGGGCAGGUUGAUCAUCCGUGGUUCUCCGCGGUGCACUCUGCCUGCCCAGGCCAGCAUCAGUUCGCCCCGGGGGAUAAAGGUUUCGGGAAUGUGGCUCCUCCGGGAGUGUUAUAGCCCGUUGCGUAAUACCCUGGGGUGGACUGAGGUUCGCGCUCCGCAAGG
Molecule: ribosomal RNA, 593 nt
Filed under: Clonostachys epichloe
Lineage: Eukaryota; Fungi; Ascomycota; Sordariomycetes; Hypocreales; Bionectriaceae
Description: eukaryotic LSU rRNA
Rfam family: Eukaryotic large subunit ribosomal RNA
Source: RNAcentral